GGAGGGUGCAAGCGUUAUUCGGAAUCACUGGGCGUAAAGAGCGCGUAGGCGGUUUCUAAAGUCAGAUGUGAAAGCCCGGGGGCUCAACCUCGGAAGUGCAUUUGAAACUUAGGGACUUGAGUAUGGGAGAGGGAAGUGGAAUUCCUGGUGUAGCGGUGAAAUGCGUAGAUAUCAGGAGGAACACCGGUGGCGAAGGCGACUUCCUGGACCAAUACUGACGCUGAGGCGCGAAGGCGUGGGGAGCAAACAGGAUUAGAUACCCUGGUAGUCCACGCAGUAAACGUUGAACACUAGGUGUAGCGGGUAUUGACCCCUGCUGUGCCGCAGCUAACGCAUUAAGUGUUCCGCCUGGGGAGUACGGCCGCAAAGGCUAA
This 374-nucleotide ribosomal RNA is filed under the name uncultured organism. RNAcentral's name for it is "partial 16S ribosomal RNA". It matches the Rfam family "Bacterial small subunit ribosomal RNA", at positions 527 to 897 of the family's 1533-position model. The record is from RNAcentral.